UCAAGACUAAUAUAAAUAUUAGAUAUUAACAACUACAGUUCUAAACCUAAAGAUCAUGGCGGUGUCUUAUAAAUUCAGGGGAACCUGUCCCUUAAUUUGAUACUCCACACAUUACUCACCCCUCUCUUGCUUACAUCUUGUAUACUACUGUCGCCAGCAAACCUUAAUAAGGAUGUUUGCCAAAAUUUAUUAAUUAUACGUCAAGUCAAAGUGCAGCUUAUGGGUGGGGGCGAGAUGGGUUACAACCUAAACAAAGAUACUAAAAUAUUAACCAAUAAAAGGUGGACUUGACAGUAAUGAAAUAAAAAUCAUAAAAAUUUAUCUAAGACAUGUACACAUCGCCCGUCGCUCCCAUAAAAUUU
Molecule: ribosomal RNA, 362 nt
Filed under: Marionina southerni
Lineage: Eukaryota; Metazoa; Annelida; Clitellata; Enchytraeida; Enchytraeidae
Description: partial 12S ribosomal RNA
Source: RNAcentral